CCUUACCAGGGCUUAAAUGUAGAGUGACAGGUCUAGAGAUAGAUUUUUCUUCGGACACUUUACAAGGUGCUGCAUGGUUGUCGUCAGCUCGUGCCGUGAGGUGUCAGGUUAAGUCCUAUAACGAGCGCAACCCUUGUCGUUAGUUGCCAGCAAGUAAAGUUGGGGACUCUAGCGAGACUGCCGGUGCAAACCGAGAGGAAGGUGGGGAUGACGUCAAAUCAUCACGGCCCUUACGUCCUGGGCUACACACGUGCUACAAUGGUAUGGACAAUGAGCAGCCACUACGCGAGUAGGAGCGAAUCUAGAAACCAUAUCACAGUUCGGAUCGGAGUCUGCAACUCGACUCCGUGAAGCUGGAAUCGCUAGUAAUAGGAUAUCAGCCAUGAUCCGGUGAAUACGUUCCC
RNAcentral lists this ribosomal RNA (404 nucleotides) under uncultured bacterium. Its description in RNAcentral is "bacterial SSU rRNA". It matches the Rfam family "Bacterial small subunit ribosomal RNA", at positions 969 to 1375 of the family's 1533-position model. The record is from RNAcentral.